RNAcentral lists this ribosomal RNA (253 nucleotides) under uncultured bacterium. Its description in RNAcentral is "partial 16S ribosomal RNA". It matches the Rfam family "Bacterial small subunit ribosomal RNA", at positions 524 to 776 of the family's 1533-position model. The record is from RNAcentral.
UACGGAGGGGGCUAGCGUUGUUCGGAAUUACUGGGCGUAAAGCGCACGUAGGCGGCGCAGCAAGUCAGGGGUGAAAUCCCGGGGCUCAACCCCGGAACUGCCCUUGAAACUGCAGUGCUAGAAUUCUGGAGAGGCGAGUGGAAUUCCGAGUGUAGAGGUGAAAUUCGUAGAUAUUCGGAAGAACACCAGUGGCGAAGGCGACUCGCUGGACAGACAUUGACGCUGAGGUGCGAAAGCGUGGGGAGCAAACAGG